Molecule: long non-coding RNA, 997 nt
Filed under: Mus musculus (house mouse)
Lineage: Eukaryota; Metazoa; Chordata; Mammalia; Rodentia; Muridae
Description: predicted gene, 3137 (Gm3137)
Source: RNAcentral
AUAAGGAAGCAAGCUGAGCAAGCCACAAGGAGCAAACCGGGGAGAAGGAAGUACUUGCUUCCAUUGUCACAGUGUUGGGGACUCCUGAGAUCCCUGGGGAGUUGAAAGGAUCUCCAGAAGAGAUGGGUAGGAAAGCCCACUAGGACUCAUUCAGCAAAGGCUACCAGGUGGAGGAGCCAUGCUCUGGAUCGAGGCUUCCACAGAAAUGACUGAUCCUCAAACCCAAGCAAACAGUGCAGAUGAUGAGCCUGGAGUGUCCGUGCGAGCGGAGUAUGGCAUCCUGGAACAGACAACACCAGAGGACUCGGAAGGACACAGUGGACGCCAGCAUGUGUCAGUGCAGAACAUUCUGGAACAGUACAGUCAAGGUCAUCAAUGAGAAGCCAUCGCCUCCAGGGAGGGCCUGAGGACGUGUCGAUUGCCUGCCACGUGUUCCCUGAGUGGGACCUUGGAGCAGAAAAAGAUAGUAGAGGGAAACUGAGGAAACCGGAAGAACAGUCUUUGGAAGCAGUACCCGGGUCCUAGUUGGCCAUGAGGAUAAAGUGUGCCUUAUGGUAGGCGGUGCCUUAUGGUGGGCGGUGCCUUAUGGUGGGCGGUGCCUUAUGGUGGGUGGUGCUUAUGGUGACACUGGUGUGGGACUAGGGGAACGCAGAGACAGCUUCAUAAUUUCCCUGCAACAUCUAAAGCUGUUAGGGAGAUAAAGUUUAUUGUCAAAGAAGAAAAUCAUAUUAGGAAAACGUGAGAAAAGAUUUUGCCGGUGGCGAAGAAGCCUAUGAAAAGUUGUCGUCAUUCAUUAGGGAAAAAAAAUAUAAAUUCAAAUGUGAUGAUAGCUAGCCCAGUGCACCACUGGUCAAACAAAACAAAACAAAAACAAAAACAAAACAACACUGACAGGGCUGGGGAUGUACUGUGCUGGUACAGCCUGCCCAACAUACAGAAAACCUGGGUUCAAGCCCAGCUCUGCCUAAAAAAAAUAAAAAAAUAUGUAGUCAAGGAC